Molecule: RNA transcript, 1737 nt
Organism: Myotis daubentonii (Daubenton's bat)
Lineage: Eukaryota; Metazoa; Chordata; Mammalia; Chiroptera; Vespertilionidae
Gene: CAV2
Gene name: caveolin 2
Exons: 5
Source: RefSeq, a predicted model, not a curated record
CAGGGCAGGGCAGGGCAGGGAAGGGAAGGGAAGGGAAGGGAAGGGCGGCCGGGCCGGAGCCGCGCCUCGCCAGCCGGGUGCAGCCGCCGCGCGCCGAGCGAGCGCCACGAUGGGGCUGGAGACCGAGAAGGCGGACGUCCAGCUCUUCAUGGACGAGGACGCCUACAGCCACCACAGCGGCCUCGACGACGCCCACCCUGCCAAGUGCGCGGACUCGGACCCGGAUCGGGAUCCAAACCAGCUCAACGAGCAUCUCAAGCUGGACUUCCAGGAUGUGAUCGCAGAGCCCGAGUCCACGCACUCCUUUGACAACGUGUGGAUCUGCAGCCAUGCCCUCUUCGAGGUCAGCAAAUUCGUGGUUUACAAGUUCCUGACCCUGUUCCUGGCGAUCCCCCUGGCCUUUGCCGCGGGGAUUCUCUUUGCCACCCUCAGCUGUCUGCACAUCUGGAUUAUAAUGCCUUUUGUAAAGACCUGCCUAAUGGUCCAGCCUUCGGUGCAGACAAUAUGGAGGAGCGUGACAGACCUUGUCAUUGCCCCAUUGUGUGUGAGCGCAGGGCGCCUCCUCUCUUCUGUCAGCGUGCAGCUGAGCCGCGACUGAACACGUGGUCCCAGAAAUCUCAUUAUUCCAAAAUGAUAACUUACACAAAUGAUGUCUAUGAUGUUUCUCUACCAAGAUCACUGCUAUACUGCCAUGACCAUUACUAUUUUCAACUUUUGCCCAGCUAGUUGCUACAGCCUGUUAACUGGCCUCACUCCUAACCUUCACUAUGACCUUCUCCAAUCCAUCUUCCCCUCAAAACAAAGUGAUCCCAUCAAGACUUCCUGCUCAAAACUAUCAAUUGCAUGUGCUUGCCCUUACAAUAUACUCCAGACUCUUGAACAAUGUAUGCAAGGCUUUCACUAUUGCCCCGCUGUCACCUGCAGCGACUCCCUUCUGCAGCCCUCACUGAAGUGCCCAGCUCUUUCCUGCCCCCAUGCCAGGAUCACCCUUCUCCUCCUGGCAGUCUAACCCCUCUGUUUCUGAAACUCCUCCGCAUUCAGUGCCUCCUCUGUGUCUUCAUAUAAAAUCUUGUACAAACUCCGAUGAUCACUUACCACCCAGUAAAACUAACCCUUGUUGACUAACCCUACUUGAUUACUAGUUAGAUUUAAAAGCAUGACUUCAUCUUUGUUUCCCGCGAUUCUGAAAUGGUGCCCAACAGUUAGUGACCUCAAUCAAUAUUUUUGAAUGAAUGACUAUGUGAAUAAAUAAUUAAAGAAAACUUGGGAUGAUUUCAGAGCUAGGGUGGAAGUCAUGUUUUGACUUCAAAAAUUUCUUCAUUUGCAAGAGGGGUUUGAAAUGUACUAAUUCUAGUAAUUACUCCCAAUUCUCUUAUCUGAAAUUUAUUUCACAUCUUUAGGGAUAUAAAACACUAACACUUAGAAACUAGUUUGGAAGCGUAGUUCUAGCAUUUUAGAAUGUUGCUAUUUCUUUAAUUAUCCUAUCUCCCAUUUUCAAAUUUAUACUACUAAAGCAUUGUAUUUAUAGCAUUCUACACUUUAGAAAACACAGGCCCAUACAUUGUCUCAUUUAAAUCCAGACCAAAUUAAAUAGCAUAGCAGAGAAAUCAAAUAAACAAUAGCUCUAGCCCUAACCGGUUUGGCUCAGAGGAUAGAGCAUCAGCCCAAAGAAUGAAGGGUCCUGGGUUUGAUUCUGGUCAAGGGCAUGUACCUUGGUUGUGGGCUCGAUCCCCAGUA